GAUGAACGCUGGCGGCGUGCCUAAUACAUGCAAGUCGAGCGAACAGACGAGGAGCUUGCUCCUCUGACGUUAGCGGCGGACGGGUGAGUAACACGUGGAUAACCUACCUAUAAGACUGGGAUAACUUCGGGAAACCGGAGCUAAUACCGGAUAAUAUAUUGAACCGCAUGGUUCAAUAGUGAAAGACGGUUUUGCUGUCACUUAUAGAUGGAUCCGCGCCGCACUAGCUAGUUGGUAAGGUAACGGCUUACCAAGGCAACGAUGCGUAGCCGACCUGAGAGGGUGAUCGGCCACACUGGAACUGAGACACGGUCCAGACUCCUACGGGAGGCAGCAGUAGGGAAUCUUCCGCAAUGGGCGAAAGCCUGACGGAGCAACGCCGCGUGAGUGAUGAGGGUCUUCGGAUCGUAAAACUCUGUUAUUAGGGAAGAACAAAUGUGUAAGUAACUAUGCACGUCUUGACGGUACCUAAUCAGAAAGCCACGGCUAACUACGUG
RNAcentral lists this ribosomal RNA (497 nucleotides) under uncultured bacterium. Its description in RNAcentral is "partial 16S ribosomal RNA". It matches the Rfam family "Bacterial small subunit ribosomal RNA", at positions 28 to 507 of the family's 1533-position model. The record is from RNAcentral.